GGGGAGAUGGCCGAGUGGUUAAUGGCAGCAGACUGUAAAUCUGCCGCACAACGUGCUACGAAGGUUCGAAUCCUUCUCUCCCCACCA
This 87-nucleotide transfer RNA is filed under the name Nitrospirota bacterium. RNAcentral describes it as "tRNA-Tyr". It matches the Rfam family "tRNA". From Rfam's summary of the family: Transfer RNA (tRNA) molecules are approximately 80 nucleotides in length. The record is from RNAcentral. Lineage: Bacteria; Pseudomonadati; Nitrospirota.